Molecule: ribosomal RNA, 497 nt
Filed under: uncultured bacterium
Lineage: Bacteria
Description: partial 16S ribosomal RNA
Rfam family: Bacterial small subunit ribosomal RNA
Source: RNAcentral
GAUGAACGCUGGCGGCGUGCCUAAUACAUGCAAGUCGAGCGAACGGACGAGAAGCUUGCUUCUCUGAUGUUAGCGGCGGACGGGUGAGUAACACGUGGAUAACCUACCUAUAAGACUGGGAUAACUUCGGGAAACCGGAGCUAAUAACGGAUGAUAUUUUGAACCGCAUGGUUCAAAAGAGGAAGACGGUCUUGCUGUCACUUAUAGAUGGAUCCGCGCUGCAUUAGCUAGUUGGUAAGGUAACGGCUUACCAAGGCAACGAUGCAUAGCCGACCUGAGAGGGUGAUCGGCCACACUGGAACUGAGACACGGUCCAGACUCCUACGGGAGGCAGCAGUAGGGAAUCUUCCGCAAUGGGCGAAAGCCUGACGGAGCAACGCCGCGUGAGUGAUGAAGGUCUUCGGAUCGUAAAACUCUGUUAUUAGGGAAGAACAUAUGUGUAAGUAACUGUGCACAUCUUGACGGUACCUACUCAGAAAGCCACGGCUAACUACGUG